RNAcentral lists this ribosomal RNA (385 nucleotides) under uncultured bacterium. Its description in RNAcentral is "bacterial SSU rRNA". It matches the Rfam family "Bacterial small subunit ribosomal RNA", at positions 29 to 415 of the family's 1533-position model. The record is from RNAcentral.
AUUGAACGCUGGCGGCAUGCCUUACACAUGCAAGUCGAACGGCAGCGCGGGAGCAAUCCUGGCGGCGAGUGGCGAACGGGUGAGUAAUAUAUCGGAACGUGCCCAGUAGUGGGGGAUAGCCCGGCGAAAGCCGGAUUAAUACCGCAUGAGACCUGAGGGUGAAAGCGGGGGAUCGCAAGACCUCGCGCUAUUGGAGCGGCCGAUAUCAGAUUAGCUAGUUGGUGGGGUAAAGGCCUACCAAGGCAACGAUCUGUAGUUGGUCUGAGAGGACGACCAGCCACACUGGGACUGAGACACGGCCCAGACUCCUACGGGAGGCAGCAGUGGGGAAUUUUGGACAAUGGGCGAAAGCCUGAUCCAGCCAUGCCGCGUGAGUGAAGAAGGC